UAUUUCAGGAAUGCAAGAAGGUGGUUC
RNAcentral lists this non-coding RNA (27 nucleotides) under Homo sapiens (human). Lineage: Eukaryota; Metazoa; Chordata; Mammalia; Primates; Hominidae. The record is from RNAcentral.